Molecule: ribosomal RNA, 279 nt
Filed under: uncultured Staphylococcus sp.
Lineage: Bacteria; Bacillati; Bacillota; Bacilli; Caryophanales; Staphylococcaceae
Description: partial 16S ribosomal RNA
Rfam family: Bacterial small subunit ribosomal RNA
Source: RNAcentral
CCUUUGACGUUAGCGGCGGACGGGUGAGUAACACGUGGGUAACCUACCUAUAAGACUGGGAUAACUUCGGGAAACCGGAGCUAAUACCGGAUAAUAUUUCGAACCGCAUGGUUCGAUAGUGAAAGAUGGUUUUGCUAUCACUUAUAGAUGGACCCGCGCCGUAUUAGCUAGUUGGUAAGGUAACGGCUUACCAAGGCGACGAUACGUAGCCGACCUGAGAGGGUGAUCGGCCACACUGGAACUGAGACACGGUCCAGACUCCUACGGGAGGCAGCAGCC